AACAACUCUAGUUGUCCAGUGUUUGAUUUGUAAAACUGUUUCAGGUACAGGAUAAACUGGAGGCAAGGGACAUGACAA
MicroRNA precursor from Medicago truncatula (barrel medic), 78 nucleotides. It matches the Rfam family "MIR5286 microRNA precursor family". NCBI's taxonomy places the organism in Eukaryota, Viridiplantae, Streptophyta, Magnoliopsida, Fabales, Fabaceae. The record is from Rfam.